AUUGAACGCUGGCGGCAGGCCUAACACAUGCAAGUCGAGCGAGCGGCGGACGGGUGAGUAAUGUAUGGGGACUGCCCGACCGAGGGGGAAAACUAGUGGAAACGUUGGCUACUACCGCAUAAUGUGGGAUAACCCAUAUGGGAUUAGCUAGUAGGUGGGGUAAAGGCUCACCUAGGCGACGAUCUCUAGCUGACCUGAGAGGAUGAUCAGCCACACUGGGACUGAGACACGGCCCAGCCUCCGACGGAGGCAGCAGUGGGGAAUAUUGCACAAUGGGCGAAAGCCUGAGGCAGCCAUGCCGCGUGUAUGAAGAAGGCCUUAGGGUUGUAAAGCACUUUUAGCGGGGAGGCGUUACCCGCAGAAGAAGCACCGGCUAACUCCGUGCCAGCAGCCGCGGUAAUAC
RNAcentral lists this ribosomal RNA (403 nucleotides) under uncultured bacterium. RNAcentral describes it as "partial 16S ribosomal RNA". It matches the Rfam family "Bacterial small subunit ribosomal RNA", at positions 29 to 526 of the family's 1533-position model. The record is from RNAcentral.